GACGAACGCUGGCGGCGUGCUUAACACAUGCAAGUCGAACGGAAAGGCCCUGCUUUUGUGGGGUGCUCGAGUGGCGAACGGGUGAGUAACACGUGAGUAACCUGCCCUUGACUUUGGGAUAACUUCAGGAAACUGGGGCUAAUACCGGAUAGGAGCUCCUGCUGCAUGGUGGGGGUUGGAAAGUUUCGGCGGUUGGGGAUGGACUCGCGGCUUAUCAGCUUGUUGGUGGGGUAGUGGCUUACCAAGGCUUUGACGGGUAGCCGGCCUGAGAGGGUGACCGGCCACAUUGGGACUGAGAUACGGCCCAGACUCCUACGGGAGGCAGCAGUGGGGAAUAUUGCACAAUGGGCGGAAGCCUGAUGCAGCAACGCCGCGUGCGGGAUGACGGCCUUCGGGUUGUAAACCGCUUUCGCCUGUAACGAAGCGUGAGUGACGGUAAUGGGUAAAGAAGCACCGGCUAACUACGUGCCAGCAGCCGCGGUGAUACGUAGGGUGCGAGCGUUGUCCGGAUUUAUUGGGCGUAAAGGGCUCGUAGGUGGUUGAUCGCGUCGGAAGUGUAAUCUUGGGGCUUAACCCUGAGCGUGCUUUCGAUACGGGUUGACUUGAGGAAGGUAGGGGAGAAUGGAAUUCCUGGUGGAGCGGUGGAAUGCGCAGAUAUCAGGAGGAACACCAGUGGCGAAGGCGAUUCUCUGGGCCUUUCCUGACGCUGAGGAGCGAAAGCGUGGGGAGCGAACAGGCUUAGAUACCCUGGUAGUCCACGCUGUAAACGGUGGGUACUAGGUGUGGGGUCCAUUCCACGGGUUCCGUGCCGUAGCUAACGCUUUAAGUACCCCGCCUGGGGAGUACGGCCGCAAGGCUAAAACUCAAAGGAAUUGACGGGGCCCCGCACAAGCGGCGGAGCAUGCGGAUUAAUUCGAUGCAACGCGUAGAACCUUACCUGGGUUUGACAUGGAUCGGGAGUGCUCAGAGAUGGGUGUGCCUCUUUUGGGGUCGGUUCACAGGUGGUGCAUGCCUGUCGUCAGCUCGUGUCGUGAGAUGUUGGGUUAAGUCCCGCAACGAGCGCAACCCUUGUUCACUGUUGCCAGCACGUUAUGGUGGGGACUCAGUGGAGACCGCCGGGGUCAACUCGGAGGAAGGUGGGGAUGACGUCAAGUCCUCAUGCCCCUUAUGUCCAGGGCUUCACGCAUGCUACAAUGGCUGGUACAGAGAGUGGCGAGCCUGUGAGGGUGAGCGAAUCUCGGAAAGCCGGUCUCAGUUCGGAUUGGGGUCUGCAACUCGACCUCAUGAAGUCGGAGUCGCUAGUAAUCGCAGAUCAGCAACGCUGCGGUGAAUACGUUCCCGGGGCUUGUACACACCGCCCGUCAAGUCAUGAAAGUUGGUAACACCCGAAGCCGGUGGCCUAACCGUUGUGGGGGAGCCGUCGAAGGUGGGACUGGU
RNAcentral lists this ribosomal RNA (1437 nucleotides) under uncultured organism. Its description in RNAcentral is "16S ribosomal RNA". It matches the Rfam family "Bacterial small subunit ribosomal RNA". The record is from RNAcentral.